Molecule: non-coding RNA, 175 nt
Organism: Cellulophaga algicola DSM 14237
Lineage: Bacteria; Pseudomonadati; Bacteroidota; Flavobacteriia; Flavobacteriales; Flavobacteriaceae
Source: Rfam
UUAACCGUGAGGUUAUAUCUGAAGAAAGCGAGACUACAAACCUCGGUACUGACGAACAGAAACCGUAUGCAGAGGCAUAGAUACUUGGGUAAGCAAGCACAUCAUUGUAACGCCCCAAGAAUAUGAGAAAGGGUAUUAAUUUAGAUACGGCAGUUAUUGAGGGAAACCUGCCUGC